AUCAGGAGGAGAGCCUCCCCAGUAUCAUUAAUCCUGUCUCACUCAGUGCUGUUCACAGUGUCAAACACUUCAGUAGCUACUACAGUAACUGAAUGGGCUUCUGAUCCAGUUUCUCUUUGUGUUGGACUCCUAGAUCCAGAUCCUCCUCACAUCAGGAAAAGAGACAGUAAUGAGUUGAUUCCUCCAGACAUGGGAGGAGAGAGUCCUGCAGAUGAUCCAGACCCUCCUCACAUCAGGAAAAGAGACAGUAAUGAGUUGAUUCCUCCAGACAUGAGAGGAGAGAGUCCUGCAGAUGGUGAGUAUGAGAAAUGCAAACCUAAUACACUCUAGAAACUAAACCCGCUGUCCAGCAUUUGAAACUCAUAGCUUUAACAUUGUAGCUAAAUGCCUGUGUGUGUGUGUGUGUAAUAGCUUUACCACUGUAGUUAAAUGGGCUUCUGAUCCAGUUUCUCUUUGUGUUGGACUCCUAGAUCCAGAUCCUCCUCACAUCAGGAAAAGAGACAGUAAUGAGUUGAUUCCUCCAGACAUGGGAGGAGAGAGUCCUGCAGAUGGUGAGUAUGAGAAAUGCCAACCUAAUACACUCUGGAAACUAAACCCGCUGUCCAGCAUGU
Clupea harengus (Atlantic herring) is the source of this 611-nucleotide long non-coding RNA. The record is from Ensembl. NCBI's taxonomy places the organism in Eukaryota, Metazoa, Chordata, Actinopteri, Clupeiformes, Clupeidae.